AAGAUUAAAAAUACUUACUUUUAGGGACUUUCCUGAUGGUCCUGUGGUUAAGAAUCUGCCUGCCAAUGCAGGGGACAUGGGUUCAAUCCCUGGUUAGGGAAGAUGCCACAUGCCAUGGGGUAACUAAGCCCGUUCACCACAAAUACUGAACCUGCGCU
Long non-coding RNA from Cervus elaphus (red deer), 158 nucleotides. RefSeq lists it as uncharacterized. The record is from RefSeq and is a predicted model, not a curated record. The transcript has 4 exons. Lineage: Eukaryota; Metazoa; Chordata; Mammalia; Artiodactyla; Cervidae.